UGUACCUUCUCACAGGAGUACUGCUCCUAAG
Molecule: non-coding RNA, 31 nt
Filed under: Rattus norvegicus (Norway rat)
Lineage: Eukaryota; Metazoa; Chordata; Mammalia; Rodentia; Muridae
Source: RNAcentral